GACUGGAAGGUUGGCAGCUUCUGUAAUCACGCUUCUGUGAGGUCUGAUUGUGGGAUGGCCUGAGGCUGGGAUCUACUGCGUAGCGGACCAGCUCAUGUUGACGGAACGUCCGCACUAAGCUUGCCAUCAAUAUGGGUGCCAUGGAGGAGUCCGUGGCAUUCAGGUUGGCUAAGGAGGGAUGAACCGGGCCAGGGGUGAAAACCAGCAGCCAAGAGUUCCCGUGGUAGGCAGUAGUGGGAUAGCGUACCGGAGUGGACUGCCGUUAUCAGCCCAACCGAUAUGGUUGGACCACAAUCUUU
This is a non-coding RNA of Drosophila melanogaster (fruit fly), 299 nucleotides long. Lineage: Eukaryota; Metazoa; Arthropoda; Insecta; Diptera; Drosophilidae. The record is from Ensembl.